RNAcentral lists this ribosomal RNA (195 nucleotides) under uncultured bacterium. RNAcentral's name for it is "partial 16S ribosomal RNA". It matches the Rfam family "Bacterial small subunit ribosomal RNA", at positions 335 to 529 of the family's 1533-position model. The record is from RNAcentral.
AUCGUACGGGAGGCAGCAGUGAGGAAUAUUGGACAAUGGUCGGAAGCCUGAACCAGCCAAGUAGCGUGCAGGAUGACGGCCCUAUGGGUUGUAAACUGCUUUUAUGCGGGGAUAAAGGAGCCCACGUGUGGGCUUUUGCAGGUACCGCAUGAAUAAGGACCGGCUAAUUCCGUGCCAGCAGCCGCGGUAAUCGAU